This 85-nucleotide transfer RNA is filed under the name Oscillospiraceae bacterium. RNAcentral's name for it is "tRNA-Leu". It matches the Rfam family "tRNA". Rfam says of the family: Transfer RNA (tRNA) molecules are approximately 80 nucleotides in length. Their secondary structure includes four short double-helical elements and three loops (D, anti-codon, and T loops). The record is from RNAcentral. Lineage: Bacteria; Bacillati; Bacillota; Clostridia; Eubacteriales; Oscillospiraceae. RNAcentral also lists the same sequence under 1 other name.
GUCGCUGUGGUGGAAUUGGCAGACACAAGGGACUUAAAAUCCCUCGCCGAAAGGCAUACGGGUUCGACCCCCGUCAGCGGCACCA